AGCCUUAUAGUUAAAUUAUAAUAUUAAACUGCAAUUUUAAAGUUAUUCGUAAGUCUUAAGGCUU
Molecule: transfer RNA, 64 nt
Filed under: Graptopsaltria nigrofuscata
Lineage: Eukaryota; Metazoa; Arthropoda; Insecta; Hemiptera; Cicadidae
Description: tRNA-Cys
Source: RNAcentral